Long non-coding RNA from Spodoptera frugiperda (fall armyworm), 999 nucleotides. RefSeq lists it as uncharacterized. NCBI's taxonomy places the organism in Eukaryota, Metazoa, Arthropoda, Insecta, Lepidoptera, Noctuidae. The record is from RefSeq and is a predicted model, not a curated record. The transcript has 5 exons.
UCUGUAGUAAACACUUCAACAUGAACAAGUCUUUCCUUCUCUUCUUGGUACUCGCUAUCAUUGCGAUGUCCAACGUCAUAUUUGUAGCAGCGAACUGCGACGAGAAUGACUGCGAUGGUGAUGGUGACAGCUCCGGAAAAUUGAUCGACCUUGGUUUAUGCCUCGAUGUAUUGUAAUCGAUAUUUCAUCAAAUCGAUUAUUACUAUUCAUUUAUUUCUUUAUGUAUUUUUGGCCAAUAAAUUUAUAUAAUUAUUAAUAUUGUUGUUUUUAUUACUUAAGACAAGUAAUUGUAUAAAAUACCUCAAUUAUUUUCUCAACUGUCGCCAUAUGAGACACAGUACAAAGUUCAUCGUGUCUCGCUCAGAUCUACAUACCGGCAAACGACAAGUUUCGAUUUCGAUAUCAGCCAUGAUCAUACCACUGCAGCUACCCCAACAUGUAAAGAUGUCCAACAUCAUGUUUGUAGCAGCGGACUGCGGUCCGAGUGACUGCGGGGAUAACAGCUGCGGAUCCGGUCAAUUGGUUGAUGUUGAUUUAGGCGUCGACGUAUUGUAAUCGAUUUUCUAUGAAAUCGAUUACUAUUUCACAUUAUUUAUUUUUUGGUAACAGUAAAACAAUGUCCUAAAAUAUUUUGAAUACGUUUUCUUUUAUGUAUUUUUGGCUAAUAAACUUAUGUUAUUAUUAAAUGUUGCUGUUUGAUUUCAUAAUGGUAACAUCAAUCCAGAUUUAUACUCACUUGUACUGAAUAAUACUGAGUUUUAUAUAAUGUACAAGGGUGCGGGUUUGAAAACUACUAACGGCAAUUACUAAUGUGACUUUUUUAGAGUUAAAUGUACUUUCUAAGAUAAUUUAGACAUCACUAACAAACGGUGAAGAAAAACAUCGUGAUGAAACUUUUUUUUUUUUGCUUAUAAACUUCCUUCCCCUUGCGCGGAAAGGCUUUUAGUCAACAGUGGCCACUUAUAGGCUCUUGACUUGUGAUGUGAUACAAAUAUGAAU